AACGAACGCUGGCGGCAGGCCUAACACAUGCAAGUCGAGCGCCCAGCAAUGGGAGCGGCGGACGGGUGAGUAACGCGUGGGAAUUUUUCCUGGAGUACGGAACAACCGGGGGAAACUUCGGCUAAUACCGUAUGAUGCCGAGAGGCCAAAGAUUUAUCGCUCUGGGGUGAGCCCGCGUCAGAUUAGGUAGUUGGUGGGGUAAAGGCCUACCAAGCCUGCGAUCUGUAGCUGGUCUGAGA
RNAcentral lists this ribosomal RNA (239 nucleotides) under uncultured bacterium. Its description in RNAcentral is "partial 16S ribosomal RNA". It matches the Rfam family "Bacterial small subunit ribosomal RNA", at positions 29 to 297 of the family's 1533-position model. The record is from RNAcentral.